ACAGCAGCAGCCGCGGUAAUACGAAGGGUGCAAGCGUUACUCGGAAUUACUGGGCGUAAAGCGUGCGUAGGUGGUGGUUUAAGUCUGCUGUGAAAUCCCCGGGCUCAACCUGGGAAUGGCAGUGGAUACUGGCUCGCUAGAGUGUGUCAGAGGAUGGUGGAAUUCCCGGUGUAGCGGUGAAAUGCGUAGAGAUCGGGAGGAACAUCAGUGGCGAAGGCGGCCAUCUGGGACAACACUGACGCUGAGGCACGAAAGCGUGGGGAGCAAACAGGAUUAGAUACCCGCGUAGUCCCUGUCUCUUAUAC
RNAcentral lists this ribosomal RNA (305 nucleotides) under uncultured bacterium. RNAcentral describes it as "partial 16S ribosomal RNA". It matches the Rfam family "Bacterial small subunit ribosomal RNA", at positions 505 to 807 of the family's 1533-position model. The record is from RNAcentral.